Molecule: transfer RNA, 91 nt
Filed under: Ignavibacteriota bacterium
Lineage: Bacteria; Pseudomonadati; Ignavibacteriota
Also listed under: 3 other names
Description: tRNA-Ser
Rfam family: tRNA
About the family: Transfer RNA (tRNA) molecules are approximately 80 nucleotides in length. Their secondary structure includes four short double-helical elements and three loops (D, anti-codon, and T loops). Further hydrogen bonds mediate the characteristic L-shaped molecular structure. tRNAs have two regions of fundamental functional importance: the anti-codon, which is responsible for specific mRNA codon recognition, and the 3' end, to which the tRNAs corresponding amino acid is attached (by aminoacyl-tRNA synthetases). tRNAs cope with the degeneracy of the genetic code in two manners: having more than one tRNA (with a specific anti-codon) for a particular amino acid; and 'wobble' base-pairing, i.e. permitting non-standard base-pairing at the 3rd anti-codon position.
Source: RNAcentral
GGAGAGGUGGCCGAGUGGCUGAAGGCAGCGGUUUGCUAAACCGCCAUAGGGGCUUAAACCUCUAUCGCGAGUUCGAAUCUCGCCCUCUCCG